UCUUUUUUUAGAACUGUACGACCCAGGGCAGAGUAAAGUAAACCAGGCAGUAAUGCUUGAUUUGACUAGGGACCUGCAUAAUCUAGUAGUCUUAUUUUUAUGCGAAUAAAUUUUUUUAAUUUAUGUCAGUGUUCAUUUGAGUUCAUUUU
Long non-coding RNA from Bradysia coprophila, 149 nucleotides. NCBI's taxonomy places the organism in Eukaryota, Metazoa, Arthropoda, Insecta, Diptera, Sciaridae. The record is from RefSeq and is a predicted model, not a curated record.